RNAcentral lists this long non-coding RNA (329 nucleotides) under Nicotiana tabacum (common tobacco). RNAcentral describes it as "long non-coding RNA (NTAB_LNC017915)". Lineage: Eukaryota; Viridiplantae; Streptophyta; Magnoliopsida; Solanales; Solanaceae. The record is from RNAcentral.
UUCCUUUCAAUUUUAACUGCUUCCAAAGACAACAUUGUAACCAAAUCCCUAUUAUGGGAUAUUUCAUCUUCCCAUUCAAAAUAACCUCAAGAACUAAACUGCGGAAGACAAAGCAAAGAAGAACAGAAAGGCUUUAAGUAGACCAAAAAUCAAAACAAACUGAUAAAAAGCCAACUUUUGUGAUAGAAUUAGAAUUACACAUACCUUAGACUUCGGAUAUUUAUAGAAUCUCCUCCCGGUGCUAAAUGUAGUCAUUGAAGUCAAGUGGUUAGCAAUAAUUCCACAUCGACACCUGAUCUGGGAGGAAUAGCUACCUUGCGACAUUGAUG